CCAUUAACCACCACACCACCUACUGGCCUGGAGAAUAACUGCUUUCUGAUUGUUCAUUCUGAAUAGUUUAUGAUAGUGAUAUUUUUUGGAAUAGCUUGGUUUGCUUGAAAAACUUUACAUACCAACUGAUCUAGCACUAGUGAGGGCUAGAUCCUUAUUUUAAUAUUCUUUUUAUUUUCAGGUACCUUAUCAUGAGAAGAACAUCUUCCUUAACCUUUUGGUGCUUUUAUAUUCAUCUUGAAAACAAAAUUAAGAACUCAGGACUUGGCAAGUAUCUGUUCUCUUAGAGUGGGUAGUCCUGCUUCUUUUAUCUAGCCACUUUCCCUUUUCCUGAAAUGUGGAUCUCUCUUCUACACAUUACCUCCGUGAUUUAAAAUAGAAAGGCUGCUUUUCUUUUUGUGUCACCUCUCAAAUUCAACACAGAGAAGCUCCUAGGAUAUAAUUACCCUGCUGACUUCUCCAGGAAGAAAGAAGCAACUGAGAUGGCUCUUCUGUUCCUGUUUGAUUAUGAAGAAAUUAUUUUGCAAGCUGAAGGCUGAUGUUUUGUUGAAAAGGUUGCUUAGGUAGUAGUAUUUAUGAAUUCUUUACCUUUUUUCCGCAAACAAGAAGACUAAAUAAAUAAUAAAUAUGGAUGACUUCAGUGCUUUUUAAAAUUGUCUUCCAGUUUUAGGCACUAUCAUGAUAAGCACAGUUUAGACUGCAACAAUAAAUUCCAAAUACACAGUCUAAUUUGAAAUGAAAGAGAUGCUAAAAAGUUACAUGUAUUUACAACUCAAAGCCCUGGCUCAUCUUGUGACAGCUUUACUGGCUAAGAACACAGUUCCAGUUUUACAGGUAAACUUCUGAGAUGAUAAAGAAUCAUAAAGACAAGACAUCAAGGAGGUUAAUUUCAAAUGCAAAUAAAACAUCACAGUCUCUGUACAAAUACACAUUUUUACAUGUGUAAAUUAUAUACACUUUUGGAUGAGAAGAGAUUUUUCUGAAGAAGAAAGCUGUUGACUUCUUCCUCAGAAGUCUUUGGAUAUGAAAAACGUCAAAUGUUUUCAUUCUGCUAUGGAAGGACCAGACUGUGUAGGAGCUAACUUGCAAGUAUGUGUAGGUUUAAUGGAAGUGUGGGAAAUGCAAACAAACCUGAGUCCAGUGAUGAAAUCUUGUUUACCUCCCUAGGAUGAGAGCCUGCUGCAUCUUUUUUUUUUUUUUUUGGCAGUCUUAUAUAACUCUUGAGUCUUUAUUUCCCAAGUUGCUAAGACUCGGAAGACGUGGCAUAGUGGGUUUUUUUGGAUCCGAAGAUGUGAUGGACCCAACAGAAUGACCUGCCUGGAGCUUUGGAUGCAGAGGAGGUUGUGGGUGUGUGGAUGAGAAAGGUUUCAUAUAACUCCUUUCUCCUAAGAAAAAGAAGCAAUGUGUUUUACAUUAUAUAACUAAUUUUUUAUAAAGGCAUAAAUAAUUCUUCCUUCAGCCCAAGAUAGGUACAUGAAUGUGAUAGAUUAUUCUAGGUGGUACGUUAGGAUGAUAAGACUAGGACUUAGGUAACAUGCCUCAGUUGGAACUGAACUUUCUCAUGGAAUGGUCCUCGGAAGCAGGGUUCCCAAACUUGUGGUUAUAUUAUCACAGAUACUGAAGAAAUUCAGGAUCUGAAAAACCUCAAAACAAGAAAGACAGUUCUAAUAAAAAUGAUGGAUUUUCCUUUUUUCUCAAAAGAGUUAUACCAUAUGAUGAACAAAAUAUAGUAGAAAGCUAUCCUUGCUUCCAAACCAACGGAGGACAUUGUAUGUAUUGUUAUAUCUUUCCAUAAGAAUGAAACCUUUAUUUGUGACUCUAAGUUGAGAAAGAACUUAAAACUUCUUAGGUGAACUUAAGAACAGAUAGUAUUAGAUCAUCUCUGUGUUUUCUGGAAUGUUUGUUCAGGGCUAUGCAAGCUGUGAUACUAGAAACUUAUGGCAGACUUACCAAAAUUUCAGAAUGACAGAAAUGGCCAAAAAUGGGAAAUUUUGAGCAAGCUAAGAUUAGUGAGAUUGCUCAACCAAUUCAAAAUGGGCUAAAAAAGCUUUUAUUUCGUAAAAUAAUCACAUAGAUAAAAUAUAAUUUCCUUUAACUGGGGGCAAUUACUGAAUGAUAAAGCAAGAAAUAACUUUGGAUAAAAGAAGGUUAAAUUUUUCUCUAACCUUCCAGCCACUUCCUGAUGUGUUUCCUUUAGUAUUUUGGAAUUAUUAAAAGACGUAGGUCCCAUUGUAUGUACAAAAUAUCAUAUGGAGAAUCUGUACCUUCCUGUUGUCAGUUAUCCAUAUUCUUUAUGUCCUUUUGGUAAGUUUUUGGGUAGGAUCAUUUGUUGGGAUAGGUUACCUGUACUAGUAAAACUAGCUCUGACUUGCUUGUUUGAACGGGUAUCAGACUCAGCUUUUCCAGAAGCUUUAUAUUUUAUUUCACAAUUCAGAGAACCAGUGUUCAACAUUCUUUUUCAAAUUGUUUCUGCAUUUUCAUGGUGGACACUGGUAGCAUUUAACAAGUGGGUAUAUUCCAGGUGUAGUUUUCUAGUAUUUACAUGUCUGCACUUUUUUCUUUGCUGUCUUGGUCCCCUUCUUGACAAAAGCUAUCAUUUUAGGCAGGAGAUUAUGCCUCAGUCUUCAGCUAUGCCUCCUUAUCCUUUGUUCGCUGGCAGUUUUUAAUUUUGAAAACAAAAAUACGGGAUAUGUGCAAUAGAAAUAUAUAUAUAUAUAAUGUAUAUUUUAAUACUUGUGGACAAAUGUUACAAGUUGUUUAAGAACAACAAAAUCACCAAUGUCUUCCAUUUUGAGAUGUGUAUAGUUUUGUAAGCAUUAGUGCUUGGUAGCAUAUUGUAGUGCCGUGUUAGGGGGUAGUGCAUGAGCCUAGUAAUAAUUUUAAACUUCAGUAUGAAUUAUGGAUAAUAACAAAUAGUAUAAAAAGAGUGGAAAAUCUAGACCUCUUCUUUUUUCAUAUCUGAAUCUGUGAUAUUCUCCCUGGGGAAAGGAGAUGAAGGCCAAAAGACUCACUUAGGAAUAGUAGGGUCACGGUGUGAGACGCUGUCUUUGAGUAUAUGGAUGUUUCCCAUGUGGUAGCUGAGACCAGCUGCCUUUUUGUUCAGGAAACCUUAAAAUGAGGCUCCAUUUCAUGCUUCUGCUUAGCUGUUAGUGUGCAGUGAUCUUCUUAACACUGUCUUCACAUCAUGUAUCUGUUAGUUUCGUUAUCUUCCCAGUGCUUUUAAGAAAUAUUUUACAUUUUGCAUAUCUUCCUGAGAUGCUAGGUUAAUUGCAUCGAUGAGUGUCUGUCCUGCAGACCAUGUGUCACUGGACGAACAGUAGCUCAGAGCCUUAGAUUAUUUGUUAGGAAUCUUCCUAUUUUUGCAUCUGCUCAGCUGUGUAUUGAUGGGGUUCCAGACUUCAUAAGAAUUGGAAAUGUAGCUAGACGGAAGCUACCUAGGUUGCCAGUAUUAGUGGACUCUCCUCCGUAGUGUUCACUCUUUUCUACUUUUGCAAAUAAAACAGCUGUUUCCUCUGAAUAUGCAUAGCUUUCAGUAGAAAGGGAAUUCCUACUUCUAAAAGCUGUCUUGCAAUCUUGGAAGUGGCCAUUUUCUGAGGUAAUUAUUAAAUCAUCAUUAAAGCAAGUCUAGGAUUUGUUGACACAGAUUCUGUAGCUAGAUAAUCAGAAAUGGAAAACUGUAUACCACUAUUUUAAUGUGGUAUAUCUUAUACACAAGUAAGCUAGAACAAGUAGGCUGGCAGAUCUCCAGGGACCCAUGUUUAGAUUCUCAUACUAUACAAAAUAUUUGUACUUUGACUCAAGUAGUUUAGUGCCUGAGAGAAUCCAUUUCUGGAGAGCAUUUAGGAUAAAAAAAAAUACCUCUGAAAAGGUGAUAAAUACAAAAUAGCAUAGUAUAUAGGAAAGGUUAUUUACUGUUGCAAAAAAAAAAAAGCCAUAAAGAACUAGUAAUUUUCAAGAGGUAGAAUUUUAGUAGCAAUAACAGUUUUGCAUGUGUAGUAAACUGCAUUAGCAAGGUUGUUAAGUAGAAAAAGUUACUGCUGGAAUUUGGGCUCUGCAACCAACAGAGUUGUAGGAAGCUAUCUUUUAGGUAAAGAACAAUGGAAGGUACUUUUAGAACAGUAUGAAUG
This is a long non-coding RNA of Tupaia belangeri chinensis (Chinese tree shrew), 4127 nucleotides long. RefSeq lists it as uncharacterized. The transcript has 2 exons. The record is from RefSeq and is a predicted model, not a curated record. Lineage: Eukaryota; Metazoa; Chordata; Mammalia; Scandentia; Tupaiidae.